GCAGUUAAAAGUGACCAGUCUGAUAUCUAGGUGAGAUGAAUAAUUAAUAUAUAAAUACAAAUAUCUUUUCAGAUAGGGGCUGAAGAACUUCAUGGCUGAUACAGUAAGACAAACUAAAUCCAAAUCUUGUAAAUCAUGAAUGGAAGAGAUGAUAGAAUCUCCGACAUAAUGUAUAAAUGCCUUUCAGCAUGAAUUAUGAAAGGUAUGUGUGUGUGUUUGUAGGGUACUUAUCCAUAACAUGCGUUUAUGAUUUAUUUUCUCUAGUUUUAUCUUUCUAUCUCCUGUUAAUGCUAGACGUGGUGGACGAAUAUUUAUAGAAACUUUAUGAUCUAAGUCGUGGGAUCGAGUUUUGAGUACCGGGAUCGAAUCGCUCUAGCUAGUUGUAUAGGAUCUUAGGUAGGGUUAGGCAAAAUAUUUUGAUUCGUUAAUUAUCCAUUUCGAUUCAAACAAAAAAAAUCUGUAUAUCCGUAACUAUAUGAAACAAAACAAAUACUAAUGUAUAAUAUUUGUAAAAGACGGAUCAAAUCACGAAUACUAACAUUUUUAGGAACAAAUAUUGGAUCUGAUAUGUUAUAUACAUAUAUUAUAAUUAUUAUAUUUUAUUUAAGUUUUAUGAUAUUUUAUUUAUUAAACUAAUUAUUUUAGUUAUUAAAGCUUUUAAAAUAAAUGGAUUUUUUAUUUUUAUAAUAAAAUAUUACUAUUCUAUAUUAUUUUUGGACUUUUUGUAUUUUUUUAGUUUUUAAGACUUUUAUUUUAUUUAUAAGGAUCAAAUUAGAUAUAUAGACACUCAAAUAUCCGGAUAGAUGUGAAGCGGAUCAAAUCAGAUAAUUGAUUAUUCGGAUGAAACAUAUCUGAUUACGAAUACUUCUGAAAACCCGGAUUUUUGAUUUGUGUCCACCUAUUAUGGACCAUCAUGGCUGACCUAGAGGGUAAGCCACCCAAGCGAUCGCUUAGGACAUAUAGUUUUAGAAGACAUAUUUUUAUUUUAUUUUAUUUUAUUUUAUGUUUUUCAUAUUAAGAAUUUUUUGUUAGUAUUUGUAGUAAAUAACAGAUUUUUCUUUGCAGGUUUCAUAUAUAAAUGGGUCAAAUGUUUGUAAGUUCGUGUUUUAUAUCAAUACUAUUAAAAGGGAAGGAGUUUUAAAAAAUCUACCUAUCAAAGUUGUUUGGACCCUUUUAUUUAACUCAUUAUUUUUUGGUCUUAUCUUAAACUUAGACUAACAAUAUGUUAACAUAUAUUUCUCUAACAAUAAUUUAUUCAAUUCCAUUAUUUAUUCAAAUACCACUCCUAAAUCUUAAUCAUUACUAUUACUAUAUUUACCAUUUUGACUUUUAAUUGUAAAAGCAUUGAAACUAAUGUUUUAUAUUAUCACUUUUAUCAUAUAAUAUAUAAUUUAAAGCAAAAGAAGUUACACAAUAUAUAUGUGUACAUUUU
RNAcentral lists this long non-coding RNA (1432 nucleotides) under Brassica rapa (field mustard). Its description in RNAcentral is "long non-coding RNA (BRAP_LNC007017)". The record is from RNAcentral. Lineage: Eukaryota; Viridiplantae; Streptophyta; Magnoliopsida; Brassicales; Brassicaceae.